This 48-nucleotide transfer RNA is filed under the name Xerophyllum asphodeloides. Its description in RNAcentral is "partial tRNA-Leu". The record is from RNAcentral. Lineage: Eukaryota; Viridiplantae; Streptophyta; Magnoliopsida; Liliales; Melanthiaceae.
AACCUUUGGAUCUUAUCCCAACCCAAGUGUUUUGGAUAGCUACGAUAC